Molecule: ribosomal RNA, 783 nt
Filed under: uncultured bacterium
Lineage: Bacteria
Description: bacterial SSU rRNA
Rfam family: Bacterial small subunit ribosomal RNA
Source: RNAcentral
UCGAUUUGAGUUUGAUCCUGGCUCAGAGUGAACGCUGGCGGCAGGCCUAACACAUGCAAGUCGAGCGGCAGCGGGUCCUUCGGGAUGCCGGCGAGCGGCGGACGGGUGAGGAAUGCAUCGGAAUCUGCCUUUUUGUGGGGGAUAACGUAGGGAAACUUACGCUAAUACCGCAUACGACCUACGGGUGAAAGCCGGGGACCUUCGGGCCUGGCGCAGAGAGAUGAGCCGAUGCCGGAUUAGCUAGUUGGCGGGGUAAAGGCCCACCAAGGCGACGAUCCGUAGCUGGUCUGAGAGGAUGAUCAGCCACACUGGGACUGAGACACGGCCCAGACUCCUACGGGAGGCAGCAGUGGGGAAUAUUGGACAAUGGGCGCAAGCCUGAUCCAGCCAUGCCGCGUGUGUGAAGAAGGCCUUCGGGUUGUAAAGCACUUUUGUUGGGGAAGAAAAGCACUGGAUUAAUACCUUGGUGUUCUGACGGUACCCAAAGAAUAAGCACCGGCUAACUUCGUGCCAGCAGCCGCGGUAGUACGAAGGGUGCAAGCGUUACUCGGAAUUACUGGGCGUAAAGCGUGCGUAGGUGGUUCGUUAAGUCUGAUGUGAAAGCCCCGGGCUCAACCUGGGAACUGCAUUGGAUACUGGCGAUCUGGAGUGCGGUAGAGGGUGGCGGAAUUCCCGGUGUAGCAGUGAAAUGCGUAGAUAUCGGGAGGAACACCCGUGGCGAAGGCGGCCACCUGGACCAGCACUGACACUGAGGCACGAAAGCGUGGGGAGCAAACAGGAUUA